Molecule: ribosomal RNA, 490 nt
Filed under: uncultured bacterium
Lineage: Bacteria
Description: partial 16S ribosomal RNA
Rfam family: Bacterial small subunit ribosomal RNA
Source: RNAcentral
AUUGAACGCUGGCGGCAGGCCUAACACAUGCAAGUCGAACGGUAACAGGAAGCAGCUUGCUGCUUUGCUGACGAGUGGCGGACGGGUGAGUAAUGUCUGGGAAACUGCCCGAUGGAGGGGGAUAACUACUGGAAACGGUAGCUAAUACCGCAUAACGUCGCAAGCCCAAAGAGGGGGACCUUAGGGCCUCUUGCCAUCGGAUGUGCCCAGAUGGGAUUAGCUAGUAGGUGGGGUAACGGCUCACCUAGGCGACGAUCCCUAGCUGGUCUGAGAGGAUGACCAGCGACACUGGAACUGAGACACGGUCCAGACUCCUACGGGAGGCAGCAGUGGGGAAUAUUGCACAAUGGGCGCAAGCCUGAUGCAGCCAUGCCGCGUGUAUGAAGAAGGCCUUCGGGUUGUAAAGUACUUUCAGCGGGGAGGAAGGGAGUAAAGUUAAUACCUUUGCUCAUUGACGUUACCCGCAGAAGAAGCACCGGCUAACUCCGUG